GCUGGUGGAUUGGAGCCCGGAUGGAAAGGAGGGGCGGGUAAAAUGUUAUGGGGAGGGGUGUGUAGGGUAAGGAACUGCUGGUAGGGCAAAGGUAUGGAAUUUAGGAGGGCAUGUCCACUGAUGGGAUUUUGUCCAAGAAAGGCAGUGGGAUGGUGACCAAAUGGUCCUUGCCUGUUUUGGGGGAGAGUAAGCGCAGGGCAGAGUUUGUAUCUGAACUGAGGAUCGUGGUUUGUUUCGCUGAUGAGUGGGUGUAGGGGGGGCUGUGCUGAUUUUUAGGCUUCUCGGUCAUUUGGAAAUUGCUGUUAAGGGGAUGUUUGCAUUGGAAACCUGGUCCAGAGAGGGCUUGCCACGUUUUUCAGGGGCUUAUGUGGGUUGGGGAUGUGCGAAUUACAGGUAAAAGAGUGAAGUUCUCAUGCUCCCUUGCUCAGUCCAGCACAUGGAGUCCUUACUUUUACGUAGUAGUAGCCUCCCUUUUGAAAGUAGCAAUGUUAAACUGAUUGGAAAGGGUGGCCUGCUUCUUUGGGGUGGAAAUGAUUUCUGAAUUAUUGCAGGAAACUCAGUUUUGGAAACGAAACACUUCCUUGUUGGAAUAAAUGUGCCACGGCUUCCCCUUUUAUGUGAGCUACAGUAGAGACGGAGUUUCACCAUGUUGGCCAGGAUGGUCUCUAUCUCCUGACCUCGUGAUCCGCCUGCCUCGGCCUCCCAAAGUGCUGGGAUUACAGGCUGGAGUGCAAUGGCGCCAUCUUGGCUCACCGCAACUUCUGCCUCCCGGGUUCAAGCGAUUCUCUUGCCUCAGCCUCCUGAGUAGCUGGGAUGACAGCCGUGAGCCACUGCGCCCUGCCAUUGCAUCUUUCAAAAUGAAGUUUCCUACUGAGUCUGCUGCCUUUGAGUG
Non-coding RNA from Callithrix jacchus (white-tufted-ear marmoset), 892 nucleotides. NCBI's taxonomy places the organism in Eukaryota, Metazoa, Chordata, Mammalia, Primates, Cebidae. The record is from RefSeq and is a predicted model, not a curated record.